UCCUAGCCCUGAUCGAAGCAUUUGUCUGAGCUCAUUUUUCGGGUUUGGGGUUCGGCGGCAAAGCCGCCGAACCCCAAACCCGAAAAAUAGCGAGUGCGGAGAGCAGGAAAUAGC
This 114-nucleotide unclassified non-coding RNA is filed under the name Chryseobacterium formosense. RNAcentral describes it as "Flavo-1 RNA". The record is from RNAcentral. Lineage: Bacteria; Pseudomonadati; Bacteroidota; Flavobacteriia; Flavobacteriales; Weeksellaceae.